AGUUGGUGGAGUGAUUUGUCUGCUUAAUUGCGAUAACGAACGAGACCUCUACUUACUAAAUAGCAGCGGGGAGUAUGCUCCUUGCAGGCUUCUUAGCGGAACUUCGUAUGUCUAAUACGAGGAAGUUGGAGGCAAUAACAGG
Molecule: ribosomal RNA, 142 nt
Filed under: Apicomplexa sp.
Lineage: Eukaryota; Apicomplexa
Description: partial small subunit ribosomal RNA
Rfam family: Eukaryotic small subunit ribosomal RNA
Source: RNAcentral